Molecule: ribosomal RNA, 465 nt
Filed under: Vreelandella stevensii
Lineage: Bacteria; Pseudomonadati; Pseudomonadota; Gammaproteobacteria; Oceanospirillales; Halomonadaceae
Description: partial 16S ribosomal RNA
Rfam family: Bacterial small subunit ribosomal RNA
Source: RNAcentral
CCUACGGGGGACAGCAGUGGGGAAUAUUGGACAAUGGGGGCAACCCUGAUCCAGCCAUGCCGCGUGUGUGAAGAAGGCCCUCGGGUUGUAAAGCACUUUCAGUGAGGAAGAACGCCUGGUGGUUAAUACCCAUCAGGAAAGACAUCACUCACAGAAGAAGCACCGGCUAACUCCGUGCCAGCAGCCGCGGUAAUACGGAGGGUGCGAGCGUUAAUCGGAAUUACUGGGCGUAAAGCGCGCGUAGGUGGCUUGAUAAGCCGGUUGUGAAAGCCCCGGGCUCAACCUGGGAACGGCAUCCGGAACUGUCAAGCUAGAGUGCAGGAGAGGAAGGUGGAAUUCCCGGUGUAGCGGUGAAAUGCGUAGAGAUCGGGAGGAAUACCAGUGGCGAAGGCGGCCUUCUGGACUGACACUGACACUGAGGUGCGAAAGCGUGGGUAGCAAACAGGAUUAGAUACCCUAGUAGUC